RNAcentral lists this ribosomal RNA (253 nucleotides) under uncultured bacterium. Its description in RNAcentral is "partial 16S ribosomal RNA". It matches the Rfam family "Bacterial small subunit ribosomal RNA", at positions 524 to 776 of the family's 1533-position model. The record is from RNAcentral.
UACGUAGGGACCGAGCGUUGUCCGGAUUCAUUGGGCGUAAAGAGCUCGUAGGCGGCUGUUCAAGUCGAACGUGAAAACUCGGAGCUCAACUCCGAGCCUGCGUUCGAGACUGGAUGGCUAGAGUCUGGUAGGGGGAUCUGGAAUUCCUGGUGUAGCGGUGGAAUGCGCAGAUAUCAGGAGGAACACCGGUGGCGAAGGCGGGAUCCUGGGCCAGUACUGACGCUGAGGAGCGAAAGCGUGGGGAGCGAACAGG